RNAcentral lists this transfer RNA (72 nucleotides) under [Clostridium] fimetarium. Its description in RNAcentral is "Clostridium fimetarium tRNA". It matches the Rfam family "tRNA". Rfam says of the family: Transfer RNA (tRNA) molecules are approximately 80 nucleotides in length. Their secondary structure includes four short double-helical elements and three loops (D, anti-codon, and T loops). Lineage: Bacteria; Bacillati; Bacillota; Clostridia; Lachnospirales; Lachnospiraceae. The record is from Rfam by way of RNAcentral.
UGGGCUUUCGCCAAAUGGUAAGGCACAGGAUUCUGAUUCCUGCAUUUAGGGGUUCAAGUCCCUUAAGCCCAG